RNAcentral lists this ribosomal RNA (503 nucleotides) under uncultured bacterium. RNAcentral describes it as "partial 16S ribosomal RNA". It matches the Rfam family "Bacterial small subunit ribosomal RNA", at positions 30 to 523 of the family's 1533-position model. The record is from RNAcentral.
AUUGAACGCUGGCGGCAGGCUUAACACAUGCAAGUCGAGCGGGGUGAUGGUGCUUGCACUAUCACUUAGCGGCGGACGGGUGAGUAAUGCUUAGGAAUCUGCCUAUUAGUGGGGGACAACAUCUCGAAAGGGAUGCUAAUACCGCAUACGUCCUACGAGAGAAAGCAGGGGAUCACUUGUGACCUUGCGCUAAUAGAUGAGCCUAAGUCGGAUUAGCUAGUUGGUGGGGUAAAGGCCUACCAAGGCGACGAUCUGUAGCGGGUCUGAGAGGAUGAUCCGCCACACUGGGACUGAGACACGGCCCAGACUCCUACGGGAGGCAGCAGUGGGGAAUAUUGGACAAUGGGGGGAACCCUGAUCCAGCCAUGCUGCGUGUGUGAAGAAGGCCUUAUGGUUGUAAAGCACUUUAAGCGAGGAGGAGGCUCUUUUGGUUAAUACCCAAGAUGAGUGGACGUUACUCGCAGAAUAAGCACCGGCUAACUCUGUGCCAGCCGCCGCAGUAA